This 389-nucleotide ribosomal RNA is filed under the name uncultured bacterium. RNAcentral's name for it is "partial 16S ribosomal RNA". The record is from RNAcentral.
GGCAUGGCUGGAUCAGGCUUUCGCCCAUUGUCCAAUAUUCCCCACUGCUGCCUCCCGUAGGAGUCUGGACCGUGUCUCAGUUCCAGUGUGACUGAUCAUCCUCUCAGACCAGUUACGGAUCGUCGCCUUGGUGAGCCAUUACCCCACCAACUAGCUAAUCCGACCUAGGCUCAUCUGAUAGCGCAAGGCCCGAAGGUCCCCUGCUUUCUCCCGUAGGACGUAUGCGGUAUUAGCGUUCCUUUCGAAACGUUGUCCCCCACUACCAGGCAGAUUCCUAGGCAUUACUCACCCGUCCGCCGCUGAAUCAAGGAGCAAGCUCCCGUCAUCCGCUCGACUUGCAUGUGUUAGGCCUGCCGCCAGCGUUCAAUCUGAGCCAGGAUCAAACCCUU